UCCCUUCCCUCCAUUUCCACUCUCCUCGAUUUCUGAAUUUUUUUUUCUUCCCUCUCUCUCUCUCUCUCUCUCUCUCUAGAAUUUCGUUUCUUUGAAGCGGCGAUACAGAGAGAAAGAAGCCAUUGAAUCAUCUCGAGUUUUCAGGAGGCGUGUUUUCGAGCUCCGGAGAGAGCACAAAAUCAGAAGCACUUUGAGGACAGCGAAGAGUCGAGCUUCUUCUUGCUCAUUUUAAUGGAGGAAAGAGUUAGCGAGUCGGUGAGGUUUCCCUAGGGGUAUUUCUCACGGCGUUUUCUAGUUCCGUUUCCUUGAGAUUUACGUUGCGAUGACUGGUUGACUGAUUGGACUCUCCGUGAUUUCUUGGGCGAUUCAUCGAGACGGUGAUCUGGACGUCUUCAAUCAUCCCUGCCAUUUCCCCCCCUCAAGAUGGACUCUGUAAAAUCUUCUUCUCUCACUCCAAAUAAGAGUAGAUUGGCACGCACAUUUACCAAAGUUCUUCAUAUUCGAGCUCUAACUGGGAUAGCACCUGUUCAUGAGACUCAGAAAGUUAAGCCGCAAGAAAAGAUCAGUGAUGAUUGUACAGCAAGUAAGAGUGCUGGGAUAGCACCUGUGCACGGGACUCAGAAAGUUAAGCCGAAAGAAAAGAUCAGCGAUGAUUGUACAGCAAGUAAGAGUACAGGUAGUCAAUCUGAGUCUUUUGAUAGUGUCGAAGAAGAGUUCCAGAAUAGAGUCCAAUUGCAAGCAUUGGUAGCAAAAUUGUUUGCUAGUAUCUCAUCAGUCAAAGCUGCAUAUUCCCAGUUACAGUAUGCUCAAUCCCCUUAUGAUGCCGAAGGUAUUCAAGAUGCUGAUCACUAUGUUAUCUCAGAAUUGAAAGUUUUGUCUGAAUUGAAACAGUGUUACCUUAAAAAACAGUUUGAUCCUUCACCAGAAACCACAAUGCUCUUGGCUGAAAUUCAGGAGCAGAAGAGUCUUGUGGGAACAUAUGACAUAAUGGGGAAAAGAUUGGAAUCCCAAACAAGACUUAAGGACUCCGAAAUUAUGUUUCUGAGAGAGAAGAUCGACGAAAUUAGAAAACAGAAUAGGUUGCUUGAGAAAAGUUUAAAUCAAAGUGGGCCGAUUUCUUUCACUGGUGAUCUUCACUCAUCAGGAGUAAACGUGAGCCAUUUCAUUAAAGUUCUUGGGCAUACAAUAAAGUCUGUUCGAAGUUUUGUCCGGAUGAUGGUGGAUGAAAUGAGAUCUUCUGGUUGGGAUGUUAAUGCAGCUGCAACGGAAAUCGAACCCGAUGCUGUUUAUUGGCAUGAUGAUCAUAGAUGCUUUGCAUUCGAGGCAUUUGUUUUCAGGGAAAUGUUCGACUCCUUCCAUAAACUCAAUUUUUCUCUCCCAAAUGAAUCCUUGCCCGAAAAAAGGAAACAGAAGCAAUUUUUCUUUGCAAGAUUCAUGGAGCUGAAGCUAAGGAAAACAAAAGAUUUUCUUUCACAAAAUUCUAGGACAGCCUUUGCCAAAUUUUGUCGGGUUAAGUAUUUGCGACUCGUUCAUCCCAAAAUGGAAUCAUCAUUAUUUGGUAAUUUGGACCAGAGAAGCCUAAUCAGCUCCGGUCAAUUCCCAGAUACAACUUUCUUUGGUACAUUUGCAGAGAUGGCAAGGUGGGUGUGGCUCCUACAUUCGUUAGCUUACUCCAUUGAACCGGAGGCUUCCAUUUUUCAAAUAAAGAAAGGAAGCCGAUUCUCAGACGUCUACAUGGAAAGCGUAAUUGAUGAAAUGUUCCUUUCACCAGAUUCUGACCCAUUUGUAGCAUUCACUGUCGUUCCUGGGUUCAUGAUUGGUAAAACUGCAAUCCAGUGCCGGGUCUAUCUCUCACAGUGACCAUUUCUUUAUUAUGGGAACAACAGUAUAUUAUCUUUUACCAACAACCACAGGCACCAACUCAAAGAUCAAGCUGUUCAACAAUGUACUUCUCUCGAUUGAACAAAGAUGGUGGACAAGCUGCUGCACAUAUUGUGACGGAGUGGCAAACAUCCUCCUUAGCCGUGCAGUCAAAACGAGUAAGUGCAAUUUUCUAGCGAUUUUGGAAGUGAAACCGCGUGAACUGAAGUUAAUUGUCUUAUUUAUCUCGAUUUAAAACCAUCCCAUCAAAUUUGUUAAUAUUAUUAUAGGGUCAGUGACAGAGGAAUGGUCUGGCUGUUGUGCAACAGAACCAGCCAAUGCAUGUACAUGGUCGGUGAUGUUGGGCCAUGUGACUGCAAAGCCUUGCCACAUUCUUUGUUUUCUAUACAAAAGAAAGGCCAUGGUCUGUGAUGGGCUCUUUGAUUUAGUGUCCUCUUGGGAUAAUCCAAUUAGUACUGGCUUUUCGAUUGUUGGAAAAGGUGAAAAGUCUGAUGUAUAUGGACACUGUUUAAACUUCAAAUCAUGUAUGUACCUUAGAUUAUAAAAAUCAGUGCGAGAACUUUGCAUGUUCAUUGUUGUAGAUGGAUACAUUCAAUUGAUUAUAUGACUGUUCGUUGAAAUAUCAUCAUAGA
RNA transcript from Cucurbita pepo subsp. pepo (vegetable marrow), 2513 nucleotides. It is a transcript of the gene named protein GRAVITROPIC IN THE LIGHT 1, with no coding region annotated. The record is from RefSeq and is a predicted model, not a curated record. NCBI's taxonomy places the organism in Eukaryota, Viridiplantae, Streptophyta, Magnoliopsida, Cucurbitales, Cucurbitaceae.